GAUGAACGCUGGCGGCGUGCCUAAUACGUGCAAGUCGAGCGAACAGACGAGGAGCUUGCUCCUCUGACGUUAGCGGCGGACGGGUAAGUAACACGUGGAUAAACUACCUAUAAGACUGGGAUAACUUCGGGAAACCGGAGCUAAUACCGGAUAAUAUAUUGAACCGCAUGGUUCAAUAGUGAAAGACGGUUUUGCUGUCACUUAUAGAUGGAUCCGCGCCGCAUUAGCUAGUUGGUAAGGUAACGGCUUACCAAGGCAACGAUGCGUAGCCGACCUGAGAGGGUGAUCGGCCACACUGGAACUGAGACACGGUCCAGACUCCUACGGGAGGCAGCAGUAGGGAAUCUUCCGCAAUGGGCGAAAGCCUGACGGAGCAACGCCGCGUGAGUGAUGAAGGUCUUCGGAUCGUAAAACUCUGUUAUUAGGGAAGAACAAAUGUGUAAGUAACUAUGCACGUCUUGACGGUACCUAAUCAGAAAGCCACGGCUAACUACGUG
RNAcentral lists this ribosomal RNA (497 nucleotides) under uncultured bacterium. RNAcentral describes it as "partial 16S ribosomal RNA". It matches the Rfam family "Bacterial small subunit ribosomal RNA", at positions 28 to 507 of the family's 1533-position model. The record is from RNAcentral.